RNAcentral lists this ribosomal RNA (303 nucleotides) under uncultured bacterium. Its description in RNAcentral is "partial 16S ribosomal RNA". It matches the Rfam family "Bacterial small subunit ribosomal RNA", at positions 507 to 807 of the family's 1533-position model. The record is from RNAcentral.
AGCAGUAGCCGCGGGAAUACAGAGGAUGCAAGCGUUAUCCGGAAUGAUUGGGCGUAAAGCGUCUGUAGGUGGCUUUUCAAGUCCGCCGUCAAAUCCCAGGGCUCAACCCUGGACAGGCGGUGGAAACUACCAAGCUAGAGUACGGUAGGGGCAGAGGGAAUUUCCGGUGGAGCGGUGAAAUGCGUUGAGAUCGAAAAGAACACCAACGACGAAAGCACUCUGCUGGGUCGACACUGACACUGAGAGACGAAAGCUAGGGGAGCAAAUGGGAUUAGAUACCCCUGUAGUCCCUGUCUCUUAUAC